CUACAGGGGUUUCUAAUCCCUUUCGCUACCCUAGCUUUCGUCCCUGAGUGUCAGUUACGGCCCAGUUGAGCGCCUUCGCCACUGGUGUUCUUCCCAAUAUCUACGCAUUUCACCGCUACACUGGGAAUUCCCUCAACCCCUACCGUACUCUAGCCUACCAGUUUCCACCGCCUUUCCAGAGUUGAGCUCUAGUCUUUGACAGCAGACUUGAUACGCCACCUGCGGACGCUUUACGCCCAAUAAUUCCGGAUAACGCUUGCAUCCUCCGUAUUACCGCGGCUGCUGGCAC
Molecule: ribosomal RNA, 289 nt
Filed under: uncultured cyanobacterium
Lineage: Bacteria; Bacillati; Cyanobacteriota
Description: partial 16S ribosomal RNA
Source: RNAcentral